UGACUGCAAAAUAGGUGAUUCUUGAUG
Molecule: non-coding RNA, 27 nt
Filed under: Bombyx mori (domestic silkworm)
Lineage: Eukaryota; Metazoa; Arthropoda; Insecta; Lepidoptera; Bombycidae
Source: RNAcentral